Molecule: ribosomal RNA, 489 nt
Filed under: uncultured bacterium
Lineage: Bacteria
Description: bacterial SSU rRNA
Rfam family: Bacterial small subunit ribosomal RNA
Source: RNAcentral
GAUCUGGCUCAGAACGAACGCUGGUGGCGUGUCUAUACAUGCAAGUCGAGCGAGGCAGCAAUGCCGAGCGGCGAACGGGUGAGUAACGCGUAAGCAAUCUGCCCCAUAUCAGGAAAUACCCGUGCCAACGCGCGGUUAAUGUCCAGGAGAGUGGCCCUCUGCAUGGAGGGUUGACUAGAGAUUUAUCGGUAUGGGAUGAGCUUGCGUCCGAUUAGCUAGUUGGCGGGGCAACGGCCCACCAAGGCGACGAUCGGUAGCCGGCCUGAGAGGGUGAUCGGCCACAUUGGGACUGAGAUACGGCCCAGACUCCUACGGGAGGCAGCAGUAGGGAAUAUUGCACAAUGGGGGAAACCCUGAUGCAGCAACGCCACGUGUGGGAAGAAGCAUUUCGGUGUGUAAACCACUGUCAUGAGGGAAUAAGGCCCGCCUUCGGACGGACUUGAAUGUACCUUGAGAGGAAGCACCGGCAAACUUCGUGCCAGCAGCCGC